AUGGCUCAGAUUGAACGCUGGCGGCAGGCCUAACACAUGCAAGUCGAGCGGAUGACGGGAGCUUGCUCCUUGAUUCAGCGGCGGACGGGUGAGUAAUGCCUAGGAAUCUGCCUGGUAGUGGGGGACAACGUUUCGAAAGGAACGCUAAUACCGCAUACGUCCUACGGGAGAAAGCAGGGGACCUUCGGGCCUUGCGCUAUCAGAUGAGCCUAGGUCGGAUUAGCUAGUUGGUGGGGUAAUGGCUCACCAAGGCGACGAUCCGUAACUGGUCUGAGAGGAUGAUCAGUCACACUGGAACUGAGACACGGUCCAGACUCCUACGGGAGGCAGCAGUGGGGAAUAUUGGACAAUGGGCGAAAGCCUGAUCCAGCCAUGCCGCGUGUGUGAAGAAGGUCUUCGGAUUGUAAAGCACUUUAAGUUGGGAGGAAGGGCAGUAAGYUAAUACCUUGCUGUUUUGACGUUACCGACAGAAUAAGCACCGGCUAACUCUGUGCCAGCAGCCGCGGUAAUACAGAGGGUGCAAGCGUUAAUCGGAAUUACUGGGCGUAAAGCGCGCGUAGGUGGUUUGUUAAGUUGGAUGUGAAAGCCCCGGGCUCAACCUGGGAACUGCAUCCAAAACUGGCAAGCUAGAGUACGGUAGAGGGUGGUGGAAUUUCCUGUGUAGCGGUGAAAUGCGUAGAUAUAGGAAGGAACACCAGUGGCGAAGGCGACCACCUGGACUGAUACUGACACUGAG
RNAcentral lists this ribosomal RNA (736 nucleotides) under Pseudomonas sp. 120516_NH_C2_A3. RNAcentral describes it as "bacterial SSU rRNA". It matches the Rfam family "Bacterial small subunit ribosomal RNA", at positions 19 to 750 of the family's 1533-position model. RNAcentral also lists the same sequence under 1 other name. Lineage: Bacteria; Pseudomonadati; Pseudomonadota; Gammaproteobacteria; Pseudomonadales; Pseudomonadaceae. The record is from RNAcentral.